Long non-coding RNA from Vidua macroura (Pin-tailed whydah), 403 nucleotides. RefSeq lists it as uncharacterized. The record is from RefSeq and is a predicted model, not a curated record. The transcript is spliced from 3 exons. Lineage: Eukaryota; Metazoa; Chordata; Aves; Passeriformes; Viduidae.
UUGGUGAUCAGAAUCAUUUACGAGGAGUCUCCUGUCAUUGUGGCAGGAGCCCUCCAGACCAGAGUGCAGGACUUGCUGUCCUGCAGCCUUCCUGAGGCUCCUCUGUCUCAGGUGUCUUCAAGGGUCAACUGCAAUUGUUGACUUGGAUAUAUCCUGAGGCAUCUCUCUAGAAGGUGCCUUCAAGGCUAGCUGGUGGAAUGGCGGGCAGAUUUCUCAGCCUGUGCAAAGUGUUCAGGAGGGGAAAAAAGAACGGCCCUGGAGUUGCCCCAGCACAACAGCCUGAAGAGCCAGAGCAGAUCCAGACACUGCAGGAUGAUGCAGCCCUGGGCCGGACACAAGAGCGGGAACCCGCCCGUGGCCGCUUCCGCAGAACCCUGAAGAUGUUCCGGAGGUUCCUGCACAU